Molecule: unclassified non-coding RNA, 1133 nt
Filed under: Hevea brasiliensis (rubber tree)
Lineage: Eukaryota; Viridiplantae; Streptophyta; Magnoliopsida; Malpighiales; Euphorbiaceae
Source: RNAcentral
AGAAGAAACUCGUGUCGAUUCCAUCGCGAUACGUACGCGAUGAUCAAGACCGUUCAAUUGCAUCAUCAAUUUAUAAAGAAGUCCCAGUAAUUGAUAUGCAACGAUUGAUCAACUUUAAUGAUCAUGACUCCAUGAAUCUUGAGCUUAACAAGUUGCGCUUAGCAGCUAAAGAUUGGGGUUUCUUUCAGUUGAUUAAUCAUGGAGUUAGUUGUUCAGUAGUGGAGAAGAUGAAAGACGAGACUCAAAAAUUCUUCGAUCUGCCAUUAGAAGAGAAGAAAAAGUUUGAAAAAUCUUCAGGAGAUACAGAUGGAUUUGGACAGCUAUUCGUCGUCUCUGAUGAACAAAAGCUUGACUGGGCUGAUCUCUUUUACUUGAAGACUUCACCCACAUAUUUGCGAAAGCCUGUGUUUUCCAAGCUUUACCUUUCACUUAGAGAGACGAUUGAAGAGUACGCGGAUGAAAUAAAGAAGCUAAGCAUGAGAGUAUUGAAAACGUUGGGUAAAGCUUUGGGGAUUGAUGAAGAUGAAGUGAAGAGUGUUUUCGAAGAAGGAAUGCAAUCGAUGAGAAUGAAUUACUAUCCACCAUGUCCACAACCAGAGAAAGUGAUGGGACUUACUCCUCAUUCAGAUGCAACAGGCCUUACAAUACUUCUUCAAGUUAAUGAAACUCAAGGUCUUCAAAUUAAAAAAGAUGGAAUUUGGAUCCCCAUUGAACCACUCCCUAAUGCCUUCAUAGUCAAUGUUGGAGAUGCUUUUGAGAUUUUCUCAAAUGGAAUAUACAAAAGCAUAGAACAUAGAUCAGUGGUGAGCUCAGAAAAAGAAAGGAUUUCAGUAGCAACAUUUCAGAGUCCAAGAUUGGAUGGUAUAUUAGGUCCAUCAAGUAGCCUUGUUACACCUCAAAAUCCACCAAAAUUCAAAAAAAUUGGAGUCACUCAAUUUUAUAAAGGAUUUUUCACACGUGAACUUGAUGGGAAAUCAUAUGUGGACACCAUGAGAAUCACCAAUGUAGAUGAUCUAAACAAUUAGUUAGAUAUCUCGAUUUGAGUAUAUAUCUGAAUUUUUAUAAUGCUGUAAGAUGUUAUAUUAAGAUGUCAAGACUAAAAAUUUAUGACUCUUUAUAUUUUUGAAUGUGUA